Molecule: non-coding RNA, 2002 nt
Organism: Rhopilema esculentum
Lineage: Eukaryota; Metazoa; Cnidaria; Scyphozoa; Rhizostomeae; Rhizostomatidae
Source: RefSeq, a predicted model, not a curated record
AACCUCUGAAAAUGGAAACAAUGCUAUCAUAAUACAAUUCUAAAAACUAAACGGUUUUGUCACUAAACGGAUCUAGCCUCAUUUCUUUAAUCGCUUUAGUUAAGCACAAUAACUGAAAUCCUGGACAAAAUUGUUGAAACACAAUGCAAUUUUUGCAAUUUGCUACUUUACGUUGACCCUGUAAAUUUGAAUCUCCCGUUAUCCUCGAAUCAAUGUUGGAUUUCUUGUUCUAUCAUUUCUCCUUCAAAAUCAAAUAAGAAAAUAUCAACUUUAGACGGUGCCAUUUGCACCACACUUGCUCUUUGGAGCUAAAAGUGAGAAAUGGUACUGUACUGAGCAUGUUGGGCAAUUUUCUGUUGUAAAUUCUAUAGAUUAUCUAGUACCUAAAUCGAUAAGGGGUUUAGGCAACAGUUUUAUAUUUGAGGAGGGAGGGUGAUUAGGACAAUCCUUCUUGGUGGCACAGAGAAUCAUGGGAUUCCUAUGCCACCAAGAAAAGGCGUACCGGCUGCGCAGUAUCAGGAACCCAGUUCUGGUUCCGGGUAACAAAUGCUCUUUAUUCCAGCAUACCUCUGUGUAAGAAACCGGACGACAACCUUCUCCGUUGAGAAAAUCCCCAAUUUGCCACGGCCCCUACAAGCUAACAGUUGUGUCUCCAUUCAGUUUGUCGCUCUCCUUUUGGCAGGACAUCCCAUCUCCCCUUCCAGCCCUCGAAAAAUUGUCCUGCCUCUGCAAUUUUAUCUGAUACUUCCCUUGAAAAGCUCACCGUCAAGGCCAAUUGGAUGCCGUCUGUUUUAAGAAAGAUGGGCGUUUCUUUAAACCAUUCAAAAAGAUGUUGAAUGAUCUUAGAAAUAGAAAAGGGAGCGAGACAUCCUGAAAUCGUAUCCGACAUAUUUUGCAGUGUAUGAUUACUUCUUUCUCAUGUUACAUCAAGAGAAGAGCCUAAAAUAUUCACCAGACUGUAAUUUUUGGUAAUGCGCGAGGAACACAUUGAUGUUAGGCGAAGGUUUCCAGACAACAUUGACAAGUUAUUUCACAAAUCAAACAUGGAUGCUUCUACUUGAAUGCAAAUCCUUGUCUUUCCAGCGCUGAAAAGUGGAUGGAUUCAACGUCCAAAAGGUUUCUGUCACUGUCAGGAGGCAUUUGUUAUUUUCUGGUCAUCUCAGGAAUUUCCAAGAAGCUGACAAAUAAUUGAUGACUUGAGCUUGAUCCCAGUAGAAGUAGAACCCCAAGCUUACGAAAUUGGAAAGAAGAUAGCAAAUUGUUCAUUCACAAGAUGGAAUCUUUCCUGCAAACAAAAGAUAACAAACUCUUUUAUGGAUCAGCAGAAAGAACCGGGCAAUUCUUGAUAAAGGUUGGAGAAGGUUGUAAUCUGGCCUUGGAGAAGUAAUAACUUGCCCCAAUUUCCCCCUGCAAGUGCUACCACAAAGACCUCAACAAAUUGUUAAAAAAGACAACUGUUUUUGUAUUAAAAUGUUUACAAAGAAGAUUAUUUUUAAAAUUACCAUAAUUUAAUAGAUAAUUUGGUUGCUAUCUAUGUAUUUGUAGUUUGCAAAUCCACUAAUUCUUUCAAACUAGUAACAACAUAUUGAAUUUUUCAGUAAUAAGUAUUUUCUAGCAAUUUUGCAAUAGAUUAUUGCUUCAUGAUACUUUUGUAAGAACAUUUUUCAAGUGGACCUGAAUGAAUUUGCUAGCAAGUUCAUUGGCCUGAUUGUGUUCGUUUAUACAAUUCAAUAAUACAAACAUGCAUUCAUUAUCCAUUAAUAUAGCAGGUUAAAAUCACGACAGCUUCAAGCAGGGAGCUGGCAAGGCCCCUGCCUAAGCUUAAAGAUUAAAUACUAAAAAUAUCUUUACAAAAGUAUAUUGGAAAAGUUCGAAUAUUAAUAUCACCUCAAAUACGUUUCUUUCUUUGUUUAUGAACAAGUUUAUAAUUUUUGAAAUAAGUUUUUAACUAUGACUAAUGUUGGUUGUUUAGUCUCAUCUUGAAAGUUUGUAUACUCCCAUG